AAAGGGAGACCUAAUUCCGGUAGGAGACGAAAAAAAAGUAGUCCCUACCAAGAAUCAAUCCCAAAAGGUCGGAACGAGGUAUGAGGCUUUCAAACUAGGUUCUGGGUUCAUAAAAGACCUGAAUCAGGAACAAGGGCUAUUAGCUCAGGUGGUUAGAGCGCACCCCUGAUAAGGGUGAGGUCCCUGGUUCGAGUCCAGGAUGGCCCACCUGCACAGGUGGCAAAAACAAGAGAAGCGAGGAAUCAGCACCUUAUCUUACUGACAUAGUAAGAGAGAAUGCUGGCUCUGAGUAAAGAGUCCAGAGGAACCUUGAAAACUGCAUAGAGCUAGGUGAAAAAGCCAAAAAAGAAGACCGCAAG
This 359-nucleotide transfer RNA is filed under the name uncultured Microcystis sp. RNAcentral's name for it is "partial 16S-23S ribosomal RNA intergenic spacer". The stretch from base 134 to 207 matches the Rfam family "tRNA". Lineage: Bacteria; Bacillati; Cyanobacteriota; Cyanophyceae; Chroococcales; Microcystaceae. The record is from RNAcentral.